Molecule: long non-coding RNA, 2697 nt
Filed under: Cricetulus griseus (Chinese hamster)
Lineage: Eukaryota; Metazoa; Chordata; Mammalia; Rodentia; Cricetidae
Description: lncRNA (ENSCGRG00015035089.1)
Source: RNAcentral
CAUAUAUAUAUAUAAUUUGCAUAUGUAUAUACCAUACAGUUCAGAUAGCUACCAAGGUUCUCAGAACGUAUUCUGUGGAUUAGGUGGACGACAGCAAUGUCUAAAAUUAUGGAAACAUAAAUAUAUAGAUAAAACACAAUGUGACUGAUGUAUGAAACAAAAAAUCUAUGUGAAGACACAUCAAAAUUGAUGCUAAACACAGAGGAAAAAUUUAGAUUAUGCCAGAGAAAAAAUUGUCUUUUGCAUUUUCUCUAUUGAAAGUCACAUACAAAAACAAAAACAUGAAAAAGUAGCAUAAGAGGUGACAAGAUUGAUUCUUAUGAAUAAGAAUAUUUGUUUUUUUUUCCUGGAUUCUAUGGUUUUGGUAGUUUGUGGCUUAGGAAAACUAAUGGUUUUUGCUGACUAAAUGUUAGUGUCAGUGCCUAUUUGAGUUUGUAAUUUUUAUUACAUCCUUUUUAUUUUAACAGAGGGACCCCAAAGAGAUUAAUGUUCUGUGCUAUUACACUGUAUCUACUCUUGAAUCACUAGCAGGAAGAAGAAAAUAAUAAUCUCUGCACAUUGAAUUCAUGUCUCAAAAACAUACUUAUGAACAUCCCAAUAUACAAAAUAAAUAUUCUUUCGUUGAUAAUGGAAAUAGUAUUUCAAAAUUUGUUUAAAAUCAGCAGUGAACACAGUUCCACAGAAUGAAACCAUCACUUUGCAUGUAGAAACAAUAUUCUGUGGAGCAAAAAAUGCAUCCUAAAGGAACAAAUAGGAAAACAUUGAAUCCUGGGGCCACCAGGGACCAGUAGUGGGCCCUGAAGGAUGUUAGUGGUCCUCUCUCCUGUCUAUUCUGGGAUGGUGGAUGAUAUGAACCAGACCUCUCUGUUCAGAGGACCCUUCUGCUAGGCACAAAUGGAUGCUUCCAUUUGUCAAAUGAUUUUUCUCUAUAGUUGAGAUUUCUAUGUUUUGUCCUUUCAUUAAACUAAUAUGGCAAACAGACUCAUUUUAUUAAACCCUAUACUAUGGAUAUGAAUGACUUUUUGUGAGAUAUAAUCCUUCUUAGGAUUUGCUGGCUCCAACUUGGUCAUGUUUUAUGAAGAUUUCUGGGAGGAUGCUCUUGAGGUUUGCUAGCAUGUAGGCUUCUUUUCCAUAUAAUGUGUUUAGUUUGAGUAUUAUCAGGGAUGUCAUUAGAGUAUUUGGAAUAUAGAAAAAUAUUUGAUGAAAAACAUUAUGAACUGAGCAUGGUGACACCUUACCUGCAGUAUCAGCUCUUAAAGCAUGAGGCAGUAGAAUUGUAAAUUUGAGACUAGCUUAGACUACAGAGAGAUGCCAACUCACAAAACAAACCACAUAGUAUAAAACAAAUUGUCCUAUGCAGGACAUAGUGAAAGCAGGAAGGGAAAAGGAACUUUUUGUUUGUUUACUUUCUAAUGCAUGAACAUAAAGUCCCAUUGUAGUAUUCAUCUCUUCCUAGUUAAGUCCAGGAACCAUCGCUUCCAGGUCUUUAUCUUCCACUUCCAGAAGUGUCACUUCUGGCUCAUUUCUAAUCUCACAUCUUGAGAAACUCAGCAAUGCUGAUUUAUUCACAGUGCCAGAACUCAUCUGCAUUGAAGCAGUAGAGAUCUUCCUGCCUCUGCAGUUCCCUACUGCCAGUCACAUCAGUCCUCAAGAGGCUCCCAUUGUCAGCUGUCCAGGAACACUGGGUUCCAAGGAAGCACAGGGAAGGCUACUACUGGCCUUUGUAAGAUGACUGCAUAGCUCUGAUGCAGCCAACCUCAAGUGCUGGGAUUUCACAAAGGCAGAAGUUUGUCACAUCCAGAAGACCCUAUCUAGCUCAUUCCCUCAGGAUGACAUCUGCUCUCUUCUGCAUAUAUUCAUAUAAAAGAAUACAAUUAGAUCCCAGGUGCAUGAACUGGCUUUUUGGAGCCCAUGGGUCUAGAGUCCAUGAGUGCCCAGGGGCUCAGGUCAGGUGUCUCUGUGGGUUUCUCAGUCAUGAUCUUGACACACCUUGCUCAUAUAAUCUCUCCUCCCUCUCUUCAUCUGGACUCCUGGAGUUUAGCCUAUGGCUUGGUUGUGGAUCUCUGCCCCUGCUUCCAUCAGUUUGGAUGAAGAUUCUAUGAUGACAAUUAGGGCAGUCAGCAAUCUGAUUACAGGAGAAGUCCAGUUUAGUCACUCUCUCCACUAUUCCUAGGAGUCUUAUCUGGGGCCAUCCUUUGUACUCCUGGGAGUUUCCCUGGCAGCAGGUCACUCCUUAACCCUGAAAACUGGGAUGGGAGGUAUAGAGGAGAGGGGAUGGGGGAUGGGAACAUGAGGAAUCAGGAUGGUCAAGUUAGGGGAGGGAUAUCCUAGUGUCUCUGGGUCUGUGGAUUGUAGCAUAGUUAUCCUUUACUUUACAGUUAAUGUCCACUUAUGAGUGAGUGAAGCUGGGCAGUGGUGGUGCACGCCUUUAAUUCCAUUACUUGGGAGGCAGAGACAGGAGGAUCUCUAUGAGUUCAAGGCUAGACUGGUUUACAAAGCUACACAUAGAGACACCCUAUCUCAAAAAACAAACAAACAAAAAGAAGCUCCUCACUUAUGAGCGAGUGAGUACAUACCAUGUUUGUCUUUGUUGGUCCAGGUUACCUCACUCAGGAUGAUUUUUUUCUAGUUCCAUCUGUUUGCCUUCAAACUUCUUGGUGUCCUUGUUUUUUGUUAAAAAAACAAAGUAAUACUGAG